GGGGGUGCCCUUUCAUCGGCCAGGUCCCUUUUGACUUCUCUUUUACUUUCAACAAAAUCUUGGCUUAUAGCAGGCGGUGUAUUUUUUUCGACAUCAGUAAUUGGAGUAGCAGCAGUACUAGGUACAGUAACAUUAUAAUCUUUAUCCACGUCAGGGAUAUCAACAUCUGAUAAGCUACCACUCCCACCAUCAUAAGUACCAGUAGCAUCGGCAAG
This 215-nucleotide unclassified non-coding RNA is filed under the name Hevea brasiliensis (rubber tree). Lineage: Eukaryota; Viridiplantae; Streptophyta; Magnoliopsida; Malpighiales; Euphorbiaceae. The record is from RNAcentral.